RNAcentral lists this ribosomal RNA (1385 nucleotides) under uncultured verrucomicrobium HF0500_27H16. RNAcentral describes it as "bacterial LSU rRNA". It matches the Rfam family "Bacterial large subunit ribosomal RNA", at positions 37 to 1461 of the family's 2925-position model. The record is from RNAcentral. Lineage: Bacteria; Pseudomonadati; Verrucomicrobiota.
CAGUCAGAGGCGAUGAAGGACGUGCUAAUCUGCGAUAAGCGUCGGUAAGGUGAUAUGAACCGUUAUAACCGGCGAUUUCCGAAUGGGGAAACCCAGUGUGUUUCGACACACUAUCAUUAACUGAAUCCAUAGGUUAAUGAGGCGAACCGGGGGAACUGAAACAUCUAAGUACCCCGAGGAAAAGAAAUCAACCGAGAUUCCCCCAGUAGCGGCGAGCGAACGGGGAGCAGCCCAGAGCCUGAAUCAGUGUGUGUGUUAGUGGAAGCGUCUGGAAAGGCGCGCGAUACAGGGUGACAGCCCCGUACACAAAAAUGCACAUGCUGUGAGCUCGAUGAGUAGGGCGGGACACGUGGUAUCCUGUCUGAAUAUGGGGGGACCAUCCUCCAAGGCUAAAUACUCCUGACUGACCGAUAGUGAACCAGUACCGUGAGGGAAAGGCGAAAAGAACCCCGGCGAGGGGAGUGAAAAAGAACCUGAAACCGUGUACGUACAAGCAGUGGGAGCACGCUUAGGCGUGUGACUGCGUACCUUUUGUAUAAUGGGUCAGCGACUUAUAUUCUGUAGCAAGGUUAACCGAAUAGGGGAGCCGAAGGGAAACCGAGUCUUAACUGGGCGUUAAGUUGCAGGGUAUAGACCCGAAACCCGGUGAUCUAGCCAUGGGCAGGUUGAAGGUUGGGUAACACUAACUGGAGGACCGAACCGACUAAUGUUGAAAAAUUAGCGGAUGACUUGUGGCUGGGGGUGAAAGGCCAAUCAAACCGGGAGAUAGCUGGUUCUCCCCGAAAGCUAUUUAGGUAGCGCCUCGUGAAUUCAUCUCCGGGGGUAGAGCACUGUUUCGGCAAGGGGGUCAUCCCGACUUACCAACCCGAUGCAAACUGCGAAUACCGGAGAAUGUUAUCACGGGAGACACACGGCGGGUGCUAACGUCCGUCGUGAAGAGGGAAACAACCCAGACCGCCAGCUAAGGUCCCAAAGUCAUGGUUAAGUGGGAAACGAUGUGGGAAGGCCCAGACAGCCAGGAUGUUGGCUUAGAAGCAGCCAUCAUUUAAAGAAAGCGUAAUAGCUCACUGGUCGAGUCGGCCUGCGCGGAAGAUGUAACGGGGCUAAACCAUGCACCGAAGCUGCGGCAGCGACGCUUAUGCGUUGUUGGGUAGGGGAGCGUUCUGUAAGCCUGCGAAGGUGUGCUGUGAGGCAUGCUGGAGGUAUCAGAAGUGCGAAUGCUGACAUAAGUAACGAUAAAGCGGGUGAAAAGCCCGCUCGCCGGAAGACCAAGGGUUCCUGUCCAACGUUUAAUCGGGGCAGGGUGAGUCGACCCCUAAGCGAGGCCGAAAGGCGUAGUCGAUGGGAAACAGGUUAAUAUUCCUGUACUUGGUGUUACUGCGAAG